RNAcentral lists this long non-coding RNA (916 nucleotides) under Pan troglodytes (chimpanzee). RNAcentral describes it as "long non-coding RNA NONPTRT001111". Lineage: Eukaryota; Metazoa; Chordata; Mammalia; Primates; Hominidae. The record is from RNAcentral.
UCAAAGAGUGACAGUAAUGUCUUACAUAAUACACUUCCCAGAAUAAGAAAGAAGAUGAGCAAAUUAGUCUUCUUAACCUCCAGUAAUAUUCAGGAAAGAUUGAUUUCAUGUAAAAUUUUCAGAGGCAGAAAAUGAAAACCAGUAUGAAAAAACAAUGAUAUUAAUCUUAAAAGUUUCAUAAAGCCUAUAAGAACUUCAGAAGGGUCAAAUGCAGAAGAACUCUUUUUUUUUAAGAAAAACGUUGUAUUUCUUUAUAGUAAUGUAAUUUACAUGAUGAUUAAAAAAAAAAUUUUGAGACGACAGAGGCAAAAAAAAAUAGGUAAAUGAAACCAAUUUAAUUCAGCAAGCACUUUUUGGAGUACUAGCAUGACACAGUUAUUAAGAAAUUAUUUUAGGUAGAUAGAGAAGGUAAAAUGAGUCCUUGGUAAGGCUUUUUCUUUUAAUAAAAACAGCUCCCAGAACUUUUCUUUACUAACAGAAAGUGGCUUUAAAAACCAGACCAGCAAGCAUUGUUAUGCAAAUGCAGGUGAUUAGAAAAUCAGGUACACCCAAUAAGGCGGCAACCUUCUUCUCCCUGUCACCAUGUGUGCCGGGUGUCAGGGCAGCCUCCACAUGACAUCAUCAUGGUGACCUGUAUUUACAUAUUAAAAGGCUAGGGAGGGAGGGAGGGCUAGUUUUUUCCUGGGCUACCUGAAUGACACACCUGGUCAAACCAAUCCCCUGGGCCCUAUGCAAACCAGAGACCACCUCCUCCAGCCUCCCAAUAUAAGGGACUGCUUCCUGCGUGACACAAAGGACCCUGGUGUUUCUCUAGUAUUCGGAGUCAUAUUCACUAGGGGAUCACAGGGCCUUUUCAAACAUAAGACUUAGUGGUGAGGUGAUGCUUAUAUUUAUGAGAUAAAUAAUAUAAAUGAAA